CGACAAAUAGUAAAAAAGAAUGUUCAGAUCCGAGCUCAGAGCACAAGGCUAUCACAAUUUAUCAGCGCAGGGGAGCGUUGGGAGUUCUUCAAAGAUGCACAUUCAGAUUCUGAUGAAUAGUCUACUUCAAAGAGCUUGAGAGUUCCCAGUUUUUCUUUUAUUUUUGUUUUUAGCUUUAAGUUAGAUAUUUAUCUUAUUUUUUUGCAAAGUCUAUCCCUUGGCUUCGUUGUCUAGAAAGGGAAUUAUCUUAUAGUAUGCGAAUUAUUCAAUGGAACUCUCAACUAUGAUAUUUACAAAAAUACUUUCAUAAGUCCUUCGAUAAAAAAAAUAUACGUCUAUUUUUGCAUAAACAUCAUGCAUCAUCCUGCAUUUCAUAGUCUCAAAUCAAAGUCUCACACAAACUUCCUUUUCCAGAAAAAGGGUCAACUCGUUUCAUACGGUGGCCCCACGUAUCAUCUACAAGUCAAC
Molecule: long non-coding RNA, 468 nt
Filed under: Medicago truncatula (barrel medic)
Lineage: Eukaryota; Viridiplantae; Streptophyta; Magnoliopsida; Fabales; Fabaceae
Description: long non-coding RNA (MTRU_LNC004822)
Source: RNAcentral